CAGCCGCCGCGGGAAAACAGAGGGUGCGAGCGUUAAUCGGAUUUACUGGGCGUAAAGCGUGCGUAGGCGGCUUUUUAAGUCGGAUGUGAAAUCCCUGAGCUUAACUUAGGAAUUGCAUUCGAUACUGGGAAGCUAGAGUAUGGGAGAGGAUGGUAGAAUUCCAGGUGUAGCGGUGAAAUGCGUAGAGAUCUGGAGGAAUACCGAUGGCGAAGGCAGCCAUCUAGCCUAAUACUGACGCUGAGGUACGAAAGCAUGGGGAGCAAACAGGAUUAGAUACCCCUGUAGUCCCUGUCUCUUAUAC
RNAcentral lists this ribosomal RNA (301 nucleotides) under uncultured bacterium. Its description in RNAcentral is "partial 16S ribosomal RNA". It matches the Rfam family "Bacterial small subunit ribosomal RNA", at positions 509 to 807 of the family's 1533-position model. The record is from RNAcentral.